UAGGGAAUAUUGGUUAAUGUGCGAAAGCGCGAACCAGCAAUGCCGCGUGUGCGAUGAAGGCCUUCGGGUCGUAAAGCACUUUUUGCAGGGACGAGGAAGGACGGUACCUGCAGAAUAAGUCUCGGCUAACUACGUGCCAGCAGCCGCGGUAAAACGUAGGAGACGAGCGUUAUCCGGAUUUACUGGGCGUAAAGCGCGUGCAGGCGGCAUGGCAAGUUGGAUGUGAAAGCUCCUGGCUUAACUGGGAGAGGUCGUUCAAUACUGCCAAGCUUGAGAGUGGUAGAGGGAAGCGGAAUUCCGGGUGUAGUGGUGAAGUGCGUAGAUAUCCGGAGGAACACCAGUGGCGAAAGCGGCUUCCUGGCCCAUUUCUGACGCUCAGACGCGAAAGCUAGGGUAGCAAACGG
Molecule: ribosomal RNA, 404 nt
Filed under: uncultured bacterium
Lineage: Bacteria
Description: bacterial SSU rRNA
Rfam family: Bacterial small subunit ribosomal RNA
Source: RNAcentral